AUGCGGUCCCGGGUUCUGUGGGGCGCUGCCCGGUGGCUCUGGCCCCGCCGGGCCGUUGGCCCAGCCCGCCGGCCCCUGAGCUCCGGUAGCCCGCCGCUGGAGGAGCUGUUCGCCCGGGGCGGGCCCUUGCGGACCUUCCUCGAGCGCCAUUCGGGGUCUGAAGCCCACUUGAAGGUCAGGAGGCCCGAGUUGCUGGCGGUGAUCAGACUGCUGAACGAGAAGGAGCAGGAGCUGCGGGAGACUGAGCACUUGCUGCACGAUGAGAAUGAAGAUUUAAGGAAACUUGCAGAGAAUGAAAUCACUUUGUGUCAAAAAGAAAUAACCCAGCUGAAGCAUCAGAAGAAACAGAUGAAAAUGAUUUGAUCCUGGAAGUAACUGCAGGAGUUGGAGGUCAGGAGGCAAUGUUGUUUACAUCAGAGAUAUUUGAUAUGUAUCAGCAAUAUGCUGCAUUUAAAAGAUGGCAUUUUGAAACCCUGGAAUAUUUUCCAAGUGAACUAGGUGGCCUUAGACAUGCAUCUGCCAGCAUUGGGGGUUCAGAAGCCUAUAGGCACAUGAAAUUUGAAGGAGGUGUUCACAGAGUACAAAGAGUGCCAAAGACAGAAAAGCAAGGCCGCGUCCAUACUAGCACCAUGACUGUAGCAAUAUUACCCCAGCCUACUGAGAUUAAUCUGGUGAUUAAUCCGAAAGAUUUGAGAAUUGACACUAAGCGAGCCAGUGGAGCUGGGGGGCAGCAUGUAAAUACCACGGACAGUGCUGUCCGGAUAGUUCAUCUUCCAACAGGUGUUGUUUCUGAAUGUCAACAAGAGAGAUCUCAGCUGAAAAAUAAAGAGCUGGCUAUGACAAAGUUACGUGCAAAACUGUACAGCAUGCAUCUAGAAGAAGAAACAAAUAAAAGACAGAAUGCUAGAAAAAUUCAGAUUGGAAGUAAAGGAAGAUCAGAGAAAAUAAGAACAUAUAAUUUUCCACAGAACCGGGUCACAGAUCACAGAAUAAACAAGACGCUGCAUGAUCUUGAAACUUUUAUGCAAGGAGAUUAUCUACUGGAUGAACUUGUACAGUCAUUGAAGGAAUACGCCGAUUAUGAAUCUUUAGUAGAAAUUAUUUCCCAAAAAGUUUAAGUUGAUUUGUUAUUUAUAGACUUUCGUAGCUUAGAAAAAUUCUACAGUACAUCCACAUAGGGUGAAAAUACCCUUAUUCUCUUAAAAAACAUGAGUUAACACAGUUGGAGGUAAUAUGCAUAUUCUGAAGUCAUAGAUAAUUUACACAGAUCUCUCUCAAUGCAUUAGCAAAAAUCAUACAAUAUACAGAUGGUCCUCGAUUUACAUUGUGGUUAAUUCCCAAUAAACCCAUCAUAAGUUAAAAAUGCAUAAAACGUUAGCAACACAGCAGUCUCCUAAUUAAUGACAGCUUGACUUAACAAUUUUCCAACUUUACCAUGGUGUGAAAGAGGUAUGAUUCCUAAGUCCUAAGGAGCUCCUCAGCUUGAAAUGGGGCUGCAUCCCUAUAAACCCAUCAUAAAGUCAAAAAAUCCUAAAACGUAAGUUGGUGACCAUCUGUAAUCAUGACGUGGUGGUAAAUCUUGGACGCUACCUUACAAUAACUAGACAAAGGAAAACCAUCCUUUGUCCUGUUCUGUGUAAAUAUUUAAUGAAUGAUCAAAACUUCAGUUUAAACAUUAUGAAAAACUUUAAACAUAAAGUAGUAGAAAUAAGACAGUAAAUACUGUAUCCUAAUAUCCAGUCAGGAUACAGAAACCAUACCAUUAACUUGAACAGGGAUAAUUUUAAUAUAAAAAACUGUUAACUGAUAAUGAUAUUAACUUUUAAGAGGGAUGAAAGAGAGCUAUGAUGUCCUAGGACUGAGAGUACCCCAGGAAGGAAUACCCUUGAAAGGGUCUCCCCUUCCCCAUGGUGAAGUCAGGCCUAAUGGAGAGAGUGGCUACAGCCUACUCAGUGAUUGGGAAAUUCCCUGUCUUGCCCUGGGCCAGAGCUGGUGUACCGCUGGUGGAUCAGGUCUUACAAGCAAAGAACCUCACACUCCCGACUGGUAAGCCAGAAGCCUCUUGCUAGGGUGUGAGCAAAACUUGGACAGGAACUCUCAGUAGAUGUUUGUGUUUGUCAAGAUUCUCCAGACAAACUUCCUUAAAAGGAUUGGCUUGUGUUACUAUUAUUAAGUCUAACAAGUCCGAAAGCUGGAGUGUGAGGCAGGAGGCUGGAAACCCAGGAAAGCUGAUGGUGCAAGGUCCAGUCCAAAGGUAUCUGUUGGAGGAUUCUCUUGUUCUGGGAAGAGGACGGUCUUUUUUUCUCUUCAGACCUUCACCUAACUGGAUCAAGCCCACUAACAUCGAGGAGGACAGUCUGCAUUACUCAGAGUUCACUGAUUGAUUUAAAUGUCGAUCUCAUGUAAAAACACCCUCACAGAAACACCUAGAAUAAUGUUUGACCUUAUAAUUGGAAAAUCAGAGCAAAAGUUAAAUCUCUAAAAAAAAAAAAAAAAAAGUAUGACCCAGUAGCUAGGCACCUGUGGCCCUGCCAAGUUGACACAUAAAAUUAACUGUCACAGUAUCAUCUUAGAAGUGAAAGAAGCCCCUUUAUCCUGCAGUGCCCCUCUACCACCACCUACUGACAAAGAACAUGGUGCUAUCUGGCAUGGGAGAAAUGUUCAGUUUGCUAUGGCUUGUAUGUGUCCCCUCAAAUUCAAUUGUUGCCAAUGUGACAGCAUUAAGAGGUGGGGCCUUUAAGAGAUCACUAGGCCAUGAGGGAUUCUCUUAGGACUGGGAUGAAGGCCCAUAAUAAAAGAGGUUUCAGGGAGCAUCCUGCUAGCUUGCCUUCUGUAUGUGAGAACACAGCAAGAAAGCCCUAGUCAACAAGUGCCAGCUCCUUGAUCUUAGACUUCCCAUCCUCCAGAACUGUGAGAAAUACAUUUCUGUUCCUUACAAAUUACCCAGUCUCCUGUAUUCUGUUAUAGCAGCACAAAAUGAAGAUACCAUACCUGAACACCUGAACAUUCUUCACAAGGUAGUAAAUGCACUGCUUUAUUCUGGUCUCAGUAUUGUGUGCUUAAUAAGGAAAUGAAAAAGGGUGGAUCAGGGCAUAGGAUGAACAAGUUACUGCUAGACCUCUCACAAUGCCACUAAUGGAUAAGAUUGUAUUUUCAUCAUUCUUGUCUCUUCGGAAGCUAACACCAUGCUAUAAUAGGCACUAAAUAGAUGUCUAAAAACACUUCAAGUAUUUGUCUAGAAAUCUGGUGCAUUGUUCAGAAAGAACCAAAAUUCAACAUAAUUUCAAAGGGCCUAAAGCACUAGUUAAUCAAAAUUCAUUAGUUUUUAAUGGUACUACCACUCUCAAAUUUAAAAUGUCAUCUUAUGUUCCUCUUCCUCGCAUUGGAUUUAUUGCUAAAACCUGGUAAACACUUUUAAUCCUUUUCAAUUCCAUUACCACUGCUCUUGUCCAGAAUUACUUCGCAGACUAAUAGUCACCUGACUUCUCCCCUGCAUCCUAUUUGCUGUCUAAUUCUGGUUACAAAUAAGUAACUGCCAAACUAAUCUUUCUAAAAAGCAAGACUGAUCUCGUCACUCCUUUGCUCAAAAAUGUAAAAGCUCCCAUUGUCUCCCAAAUAAAACCAGCUUUCCACUGUAUAUACAAUACAUCCA
This 3652-nucleotide small RNA is filed under the name Pan troglodytes (chimpanzee). Its description in RNAcentral is "processed transcript". The record is from RNAcentral. Lineage: Eukaryota; Metazoa; Chordata; Mammalia; Primates; Hominidae.